GUAGUUGUGGCCGAGUGGUUAAGGUGAUGGACUUGAAAUCCAUUGAGAGUUUCCUGCACAAGUUCGAAUCCUGUCGACUAAG
This is a non-coding RNA of Globicephala melas (long-finned pilot whale), 82 nucleotides long. The record is from the annotation of a RefSeq genome assembly. NCBI's taxonomy places the organism in Eukaryota, Metazoa, Chordata, Mammalia, Artiodactyla, Delphinidae.